Molecule: ribosomal RNA, 644 nt
Filed under: Escherichia coli
Lineage: Bacteria; Pseudomonadati; Pseudomonadota; Gammaproteobacteria; Enterobacterales; Enterobacteriaceae
Description: partial 23S ribosomal RNA
Rfam family: Bacterial large subunit ribosomal RNA
Source: RNAcentral
AUAAUGGGUCAGCGACUUAUAUUCUGUAGCAAGGUUAACCGAAUAGGGGAGCCGAAGGGAAACCGAGUCUUAACUGGGCGUUAAGUUGCAGGGUAUAGACCCGAAACCCGGUGAUCUAGCCAUGGGCAGGUUGAAGGUUGGGUAACACUAACUGGAGGACCGAACCGACUAAUGUUGAAAAAUUAGCGGAUGACUUGUGGCUGGGGGUGAAAGGCCAAUCAAACCGGGAGAUAGCUGGUUCUCCCCGAAAGCUAUUUAGGUAGCGCCUCGUGAAUUCAUCUCCGGGGGUAGAGCACUGUUUCGGCAAGGGGGUCAUCCCGACUUACCAACCCGAUGCAAACUGCGAAUACCGGAGAAUGUUAUCACGGGAGACACACGGCGGGUGCUAACGUCCGUCGUGAAGAGGGAAACAACCCAGACCGCCAGCUAAGGUCCCAAAGUCAUGGUUAAGUGGGAAACGAUGUGGGAAGGCCCAGACAGCCAGGAUGUUGGCUUAGAAGCAGCCAUCAUUUAAAGAAAGCGUAAUAGCUCACUGGUCGAGUCGGCCUGCGCGGAAGAUGUAACGGGGCUAAACCAUGCACCGAAGCUGCGGCAGCGACGCUGAUGCGUUGUUGGGUAGGGGAGCGUUCUGUAAGCCUGCGAAG